GCGGGAAUUCGAUUCGCGGCCUAUCAGCUUGUUGGUGGGGUAGUGGCCUACCAAGGCGACGACGGGUAGCCGGCCUGAGAGGGCGACCGGCCACACUGGGACUGAGACACGGCCCAGACUCCUACGGGAGGCAGCAGUGGGGAAUAUUGCGCAAUGGGCGGAAGCCUGACGCAGCGACGCCGCGUGGGGGAUGACGGCCUUCGGGUUGUAAACCUCUUUCAGCAGGGACGAAGUUGACGUGUACCUGCAGAAGAAGCGCCGGCUAACUACGUGCCAGCAGCCGCGGUAAUACGUAGGGCGCAAGCGUUGUCCGGAACUAUUGGGCGUAAAGAGCUCGUAGGUGGCUGGUCGCGUCUGCCGUGAAAGCCCGCAGCUUAACUGCGGGUCUGCGGUGGAUACGGGCCGGCUAGAGGUAGGUAGGGGCGAGUGGAAUUCCUGGUG
This 441-nucleotide ribosomal RNA is filed under the name Nonomuraea maheshkhaliensis. RNAcentral's name for it is "bacterial SSU rRNA". It matches the Rfam family "Bacterial small subunit ribosomal RNA", at positions 218 to 675 of the family's 1533-position model. The record is from RNAcentral. Lineage: Bacteria; Bacillati; Actinomycetota; Actinomycetes; Streptosporangiales; Streptosporangiaceae.